GUGGUCAGCAGGUGGCACUGUGUGUGUUAUGAGACUGUGUGCAUGCGCUCUCACUCGUUGAAAUAUCCUGUUGAGAUUGCGAGCAGUGCAAGCAACGCGUGUUCUCUGGAAAUUGUGGUCAUCCAUGGUGAACAACAUAUGUUGGAGAUUUCAUCCUUUGUAAAGUGUAUCUGGUUUUAUGUUGGAGCUCAACGUGAUUAUUCCCACUGCCGUAUUGUGUUGUAACAUUUUGAUAUUGUUGCAUUAUUUGUAAUUGUUUUAUUUUCUAUUUUCUUUUGCACUGAGAUUUUUGUAAUUUUCCUAUUCUCUUGCAUUUGAAAAUAACAUCGUAGAGCUACGAAGGUUUAAUUUGUGUCAUCAGCUCUGUGAAAGCGCUCAUUUUAUUUAUAUAAAUUUUGUUUCGCUUUUACUGAUCUUUUUGUAAACUUUCUUCUCAAUUAAGUUGAGAGGUCGCUUUUGAUAGUGAAUCAUUUUCUCGAAAACAGUAAAUGAAUAAACAAUAAAGUAGAACCCCUCAAUGUGUUCCUGGUGGUGAAUUUAAAUCCCCGGUCACACAUUUUGGUACCAGGAGUGGGGUUGUUUAUUCACUUUGAUUAGGAUUUUUUGGAGCGGUUUAGUUAGACAAUACGGCAGUGGUGAAUAUUUUACAGAGUGCAGAGGAUCGCGGAUGAGGUGGUCAGCGUGCGACCGAUUGGGUUUCCAGUGUGCCAGGCUUGACUGCUGCUAAGAAGAUCGGUCCAGACUGAUGCGUUUCCUGCUGUCAACGUGUGGCCUUCCAGGAUCUCAUGGCUGCAUCCCAGGAACUGUGCAUUAGUG
Molecule: long non-coding RNA, 816 nt
Organism: Tachysurus vachellii
Lineage: Eukaryota; Metazoa; Chordata; Actinopteri; Siluriformes; Bagridae
Exons: 3
Source: RefSeq, a predicted model, not a curated record